Molecule: ribosomal RNA, 713 nt
Filed under: Escherichia coli
Lineage: Bacteria; Pseudomonadati; Pseudomonadota; Gammaproteobacteria; Enterobacterales; Enterobacteriaceae
Description: partial 23S ribosomal RNA
Rfam family: Bacterial large subunit ribosomal RNA
Source: RNAcentral
UAAUAGCUCACUGGUCGAGUCGGCCUGCGCGGAAGAUGUAACGGGGCUAAACCAUGCACCGAAGCUGCGGCAGCGACACUAUGUGUUGUUGGGUAGGGGAGCGUUCUGUAAGCCUGUGAAGGUGGCCUGUGAGGGUUGCUGGAGGUAUCAGAAGUGCGAAUGCUGACAUAAGUAACGAUAAAGCGGGUGAAAAGCCCGCUCGCCGGAAGACCAAGGGUUCCUGUCCAACGUUAAUCGGGGCAGGGUGAGUCGACCCCUAAGGCGAGGCCGAAAGGCGUAGUCGAUGGGAAACAGGUUAAUAUUCCUGUACUUGGUGUUACUGCGAAGGGGGGACGGAGAAGGCUAUGUUGGCCGGGCGACGGUUGUCCCGGUUUAAGCGUGUAGGCUGGUUUUCCAGGCAAAUCCGGAAAACCAAGGCUGAGGCGUGAUGACGAGGCACUACGGUGCUGAAGCGACAAAUGCCCUGCUUCCAGGAAAAGCCUCUAAGCAUCAGGUAACAUCAAAUCGUACCCCAAACCGACACAGGUGGUCAGGUAGAGAAUACCAAGGCGCUUGAGAGAACUCGGGUGAAGGAACUAGGCAAAAUGGUGCCGUAACUUCGGGAGAAGGCACGCUGAUAUGUAGGUGAAGCGACUUGCUCGUGGAGCUGAAAUCAGUCGAAGAUACCAGCUGGCUGCAACUGUUUAUUAAAAACACAGCACUGUGCAAACACG